This is a long non-coding RNA of Lagopus muta (rock ptarmigan), 225 nucleotides long. RefSeq lists it as uncharacterized. The transcript is spliced from 3 exons. The record is from RefSeq and is a predicted model, not a curated record. Lineage: Eukaryota; Metazoa; Chordata; Aves; Galliformes; Phasianidae.
CUUCGUUUGAAACGCGGGAGGCAGUCGGGUUAAUGGCGUGCCGUGCCGAGCUCAGCUGUGGCACAAUUAGAAAAGCCUGUUGCUCAAAGGCCCUGACUCACCUCCCAGAUAGGAACCAGGACAGUCCCAGAGCAGGAGGCUCUGAAUCCAGUGGCUGUAACAGUCUCGUCACUUGCAAACUCUACCAGCAUUGUUGAUCCUGAAGCAACGAUGGAAGGCAGCGGC